GACGAACGCUGGCGGCGUGCUUAACACAUGCAAGUCGAGCGGAAAGGCCACUUCGGUGGUACUCGAGCGGCGAACGGGUGAGUAACACGUGAGUAAUCUGCCCCUGGCUUUGGGAUAGCCACCGGAAACGGUGAUUAAUACCGGAUACGACCACUUCUCGCAUGGGAUGGUGGUGGAAAGUUUUUUCGGCCAGGGAUGUGCUCGCGGCCUAUCAGCUUGAUGGUGAGGUAAUGGCUCACCAUGGCUUCGACGGGGAGCCAGCCUGAGAGGGUGACCGGUCACACUGGGACUGAGACACGGCCCAGACUCCUACGGGAGGCAGCAGUGGGGAAUAUUGGACAAUGGGCGGAAGCCUGAUCCAGCAACGCCGCGUGAGGGAUGACGGCCUUCGGGUUGUAAACCUCUUUCAGCAGGGACGAAGCGCAAGUGACGGUACCUGCAGAAGAAGCACCGGCCAACUACGUGCCAGCCGCCGCAGUAA
Molecule: ribosomal RNA, 481 nt
Filed under: uncultured bacterium
Lineage: Bacteria
Description: partial 16S ribosomal RNA
Rfam family: Bacterial small subunit ribosomal RNA
Source: RNAcentral